AAUCUCCCGUGUAAAUAACACACACAUAUCGGCACAUGCGCCGGGGUGCCUUUCGGGGUCGGUUGCAUGGGAUAUGUGGAGGCCCAAC
Pantoea sp. PSNIH2 is the source of this 88-nucleotide non-coding RNA. The record is from Rfam. NCBI's taxonomy places the organism in Bacteria, Pseudomonadati, Pseudomonadota, Gammaproteobacteria, Enterobacterales, Erwiniaceae.